Molecule: ribosomal RNA, 620 nt
Filed under: Microbacterium sp. I12A-00893
Lineage: Bacteria; Bacillati; Actinomycetota; Actinomycetes; Micrococcales; Microbacteriaceae
Description: bacterial SSU rRNA
Rfam family: Bacterial small subunit ribosomal RNA
Source: RNAcentral
AGUGGCGAACGGGUGAGUAACACGUGAGCAACCUGCCCCGGACUCUGGGAUAAGCGCUGGAAACGGCGUCUAAUACUGGAUACGAACCACGAAGGCAUCUUCAGUGGUUGGAAAGAUUUUUUGGUCUGGGAUGGGCUCGCGGCCUAUCAGCUAGUUGGUGAGGUAACGGCUCACCAAGGCGUCGACGGGUAGCCGGCCUGAGAGGGUGACCGGCCACACUGGGACUGAGACACGGCCCAGACUCCUACGGGAGGCAGCAGUGGGGAAUAUUGCACAAUGGGCGGAAGCCUGAUGCAGCAACGCCGCGUGAGGGAUGACGGCCUUCGGGUUGUAAACCUCUUUUAGCAAGGAAGAAGCGAAAGUGACGGUACUUGCAGAAAAAGCGCCGGCUAACUACGUGCCAGCAGCCGCGGUAAUACGUAGGGCGCAAGCGUUAUCCGGAAUUAUUGGGCGUAAAGAGCUCGUAGGCGGUCUGUCGCGUCUGCUGUGAAAACCCGAGGCUCAACCUCGGGCCUGCAGUGGGUACGGGCAGACUAGAGUGCGGUAGGGGAGAUUGGAAUUCCUGGUGUAGCGGUGGAAUGCGCAGAUAUCAGGAGGAACACCGAUGGCGAAGGCAGAUC